Physcomitrium patens is the source of this 1670-nucleotide non-coding RNA. NCBI's taxonomy places the organism in Eukaryota, Viridiplantae, Streptophyta, Bryopsida, Funariales, Funariaceae. The record is from RefSeq and is a predicted model, not a curated record.
UUUUCAUUGCACCAAGAGUUUAGUUCACCGAAUUUCCACUUGAUUUCAGUGCGAUUCACCUUCAGUUGCUUAGGACCGUUGAACCAUCAGAUUCACAAUCAUGUACUUUUGAAGGCUCGUUUAAAAUGUAUUAGUGUAUUGGAAAGCUUGGGUGGCAGGGAUUUUCUUUAGAAUCGCUAGAUUGUAAGCAUUUUCUCAAUUGUUUCCAGUCCUCUAUUUCUAUGAAAUCAGAUAACACGGUUCCACCGUCGGUUGUUGCUUUGAAAAUAUUGCUUUGGCUUAGGUGAAGGAGCAGCGUUUGCGUCAGCUUUUGCGAAAGGCCAUAGAAGAAACGAUGUUACACGGAGAGAAGAAGCAAGCCCUCACCUGUAAAGAGAUGGAAGCUGAGCAGGAAGAGGUUUCCUGUUUGAUAAGCAUGCAAGUUCUCUUUGGGAAAGGGUUCAAAAGACACGAGGAGAUAACAAAUGGCGUCCAGAUCUAGAAGCCUCUGAAGGCCAUGUUCGCAUUGCCUCCAACAACAAAACGUUCUCUGAUUUGCAACAACAGGGACUUAUUAGAGUCAUUUGUGAUUUUUUUUGCUUGGUGCUAUGCUUUCCAUAUCCCAAUGUUCUACAGGGCUGCCAUCUGAGUGAAGCAGUCUCUUGAACAAAUUUGUGAACUUCAACCCAGUGAAAGCGUGUGCAUCGGCUGGUGUUGCGGUGGUUCACAAGUGAAUAUUUUUCUGAUCAAGGUUUCCUGGGCAUGAGAAGUGUCACCACCUCCCAAGGUCCCUAUGUCAUGUUUUGCGAGGGGCUGUGGGUGCGUCAUUAGGAAAUCUAGAGUUGUAACAUUCAGAAGAUAUUUUUCGGUUAGCAAAUUACGUUUGCAAAACAUUUCCGCUCUAUCAUCGGCCACUGCGACGUGGAAUGUUGCUGGAAAUGACUUCCAACGAUUUAGUUUCUCAUGAUUUUGCAAGAAGUAAGGUUCCCAGGUUUUUCAAGAAGACACAAUUUUGUCGUUGCAGGACUGACACAUUCAGAGAGAAGUUUCUGAUUCAGGCCAAUCCACCAUUCCUGUCUCUGCAAAAAAAGGCCAUUAAAAUUGCAGGGAAGUACUCUGCUCACUCUACAUUUUCGCUUUUCAAAUGUAUGCAAGUUUAUUUUUUUAUAAGUUCCCUUUGAUCGUUUGCCAUGAGCAUCUCUGAUCUCAUUUCCUGGUUGGUGGGUUGUAUCUAGGACAAUCAAAACCAAUACCUUUGGGGUGGGAAAUGCAUAUAAAUUUUGAGCAAUAAUGGGGUUGUCUAAAACACCGAGAAUUUGGUACUAUCAUAGCAUGCUAUUCUACAUUGAAUGAAGGGAAGGGGCUGGAAAUAAUAGCGUGGAUCUGAUGGAUGGAGAUGCAGCCUGGAGUAAGUGUACAAAUCUCCCGCUCAACUUUCAAGGAAGAAUGACAUAAAUUUCAGUUUUCGAUUGGGAGAGUGAAUUGGCGCUACAAAUUGGUACCCUUUCAAAUAAUGCAUUUGGUACGAGAUCUUGGAAGUUUAGCCGAAACGACUCUACAAAAUAGUUACUAUUAUUAUUAUUUAAUCAAUCAUUUUUUUUAGUAAAAUUUAAUGUGGUUUUCAUACCAUGUGGUUUGCUUUCAAUGAUUUAUUGAAGUAAAAUGGUUUGUCUCUCAAUCUUUGAUUUGAU